GGCGGAGUAGCACAGCGGUUAGUGCAGCGUCUUCAUAAGGCGUUGGUCGGUGGUCCGAAUCCACCUUCCGCCACCA
Molecule: transfer RNA, 76 nt
Filed under: Prevotella sp.
Lineage: Bacteria; Pseudomonadati; Bacteroidota; Bacteroidia; Bacteroidales; Prevotellaceae
Description: tRNA-Met
Rfam family: tRNA
About the family: Transfer RNA (tRNA) molecules are approximately 80 nucleotides in length. Their secondary structure includes four short double-helical elements and three loops (D, anti-codon, and T loops). Further hydrogen bonds mediate the characteristic L-shaped molecular structure. tRNAs have two regions of fundamental functional importance: the anti-codon, which is responsible for specific mRNA codon recognition, and the 3' end, to which the tRNAs corresponding amino acid is attached (by aminoacyl-tRNA synthetases). tRNAs cope with the degeneracy of the genetic code in two manners: having more than one tRNA (with a specific anti-codon) for a particular amino acid; and 'wobble' base-pairing, i.e. permitting non-standard base-pairing at the 3rd anti-codon position.
Source: RNAcentral